RNAcentral lists this non-coding RNA (83 nucleotides) under Desulforamulus putei. RNAcentral describes it as "Desulfotomaculum putei ZTP sequence". It matches the Rfam family "ZMP/ZTP riboswitch aptamer (pfl RNA motif)". From Rfam's summary of the family: Previously known as pfl RNA. ZMP is also known as AICAR. Lineage: Bacteria; Bacillati; Bacillota; Clostridia; Eubacteriales; Peptococcaceae. The record is from RNAcentral.
AAGCAGUUACAUGACCGGCGGAAAAUUGUGGAGCACCACAGGGGAUUGUAACUGUACGAACGCCGACCGCCUGGGCAAUCAUC